RNAcentral lists this ribosomal RNA (467 nucleotides) under uncultured bacterium. RNAcentral's name for it is "partial 16S ribosomal RNA". It matches the Rfam family "Bacterial small subunit ribosomal RNA", at positions 28 to 506 of the family's 1533-position model. The record is from RNAcentral.
GACGAACGCUGGCGGCGUGCUUAACACAUGCAGGUCGAACGGUGAAGCUCCAGCUUGCUGGAGUGGAUCAGUGGCGAACGGGUGAGUAACACGUGAGCAACCUGCCCCUGACUCUGGAAUAAGCGCUGGAAACGGCGUCUAAUACUGGAUACGAGAAGGGUCCGCAUGGGCACUUUCUGGAAAGUUUUUCGGUUGGGGAUGGGCUCGCGGCCUAUCAGCUUGUUGGUGAGGUAAUGGCUCACCAAGGCGACGACGGGUAGCCGGCCUGAGAGGGCGACCGGCCACACUGGGACUGAGACACGGCCCAGACUCCUACGGGAGGCAGCAGUGGGGAAUAUUGCACAAUGGGCGAAAGCCUGAUGCAGCGACGCCGCGUGAGGGAUGACGGCCUUCGGGUUGUAAACCUCUUUCAGCAGGGAAGAAGCGAAAGUGACGGUACCUGCAGAAGAAGCACCGGCUAACUACGU